UCAGGACUUCAGACGGGAUGGUUCUUUAUUAUUAUUUUUUAAUUAUUUUUUAGUUAAAAUAAUAUUUUGAAUCGGGAAUCUGGAUCUGCCUCGGCCUCCUGCUUCGCCGCUGGAAUCGCGCCUGCUCGCCAGAUGUACUGAUUUGACUGCAAUUUGGAUAUUCUUGCUCACAACUUGUUUGUAAAAAUGUUUCUAUGAGUUCAAAUGAGAAUGCUAACAAGUACCAGGUCUUUGAUUUGGGAGAAACAGCACCUGAUCAGGUCUGAAUCUGAUGAGCUUGAUGUGACAGGCAUCUUCCAACUUACUUCUUAAAGCUCUUAGACGUGAAGCUCUUGAAGGGGUAAACCUUAGACAUCUGCAUGGUUGUUCACCAACCAAGAUUGGUAUUUAAAUGCAAUAAACAGUCAACUUGCAACUAUUCUUUUCACUAAAAGUCAAGUAAUUUGCAGACAUGCCUCUUAUUUGCAGCACUUCUACCUGCUGUAGAUUUGUCCAUGUCCUACAAGGUAGAAGGAAAUUUAUGUUCACUGGGGAAAAUAUGAUUUUCAACACCUUAUCAUGUUCCGAUCCAUAUCCAAUACCAUCUUCACCUAAAAUAAUAAAAUAUAGAGUGAGAUCUGAAUUUUCAAUUUGAUCAAAGUGGUUUGGGGUUUUUAUUUUAGUUGUUCUUCUCCCAGUUAUUCACGAAGUGCUUCCUCGUGUAUUGGAAUGGAUGGUCAUCGGAUUCUUUCAAUUCGGUGGGCCUCGAGCUUUGGCAAACAGAGAAAUAUAUGAUUGGAAUAACUGGAAUGUUAAGAAUGGUUCUUGAGACUUCAACACUUAAUCCUCAAACUCCUAGGCCUUUAGUUGAAGGAAGGAGGAGAAAGUGUACCCUGCAUCAAUUUCAAUUCAACAGUGUAGAAGAGGAUGAUACUGAUAUAAAGAGAAUUAAUAAUACUUGUGCAGAAGAGCCAGUGAUCUCAAUAUGUUGAUCAUAAGCAGCGGCGGGAUCAGAUAUGAAAUGUACUGUGAGCUCAUCAAUGCAUUCACUUACAUUAGAAUAUUUUGGUAUCUUCCAAUAUCUCAGAGCUGUUAUUGUUUCUUUAAUUUGGUUUAUAUAAAAAAAAAAAUAUUAUAUUGCAUAUAACAUGUAGUAGACAAGGUAACCAAACAUAAGUAUUUAUAUUGAUUGCAGUAGUUAAUUUUCUUAUAAUGAAUUAAAUUUGGAACAAAA
This is an RNA transcript of Ipomoea triloba (trilobed morning glory), 1213 nucleotides long. RefSeq lists it as uncharacterized. The record is from RefSeq and is a predicted model, not a curated record. NCBI's taxonomy places the organism in Eukaryota, Viridiplantae, Streptophyta, Magnoliopsida, Solanales, Convolvulaceae. The transcript is spliced from 4 exons.